AAAUCCUUCCCCAAAGGCUGCAAGAUAGUUUGAAAUAAGAGGGCCAGGGUCUCAUCAUAUGGAAGAAAACAAGUAUUCUCAUCUCAGCCUCAUGCCCUGGCCUGGAAUUUGAAGACCUCUGUUCACCCCAGCUGAAAGUCAACCAUUCCUGAAACAAGCGUCAGGAAACUGGCUUCAUGCCUAGUGACUGCAGUGGAAGUGGGAAUAAGUUUUUUUAUAUAUGCUGCUUGUUUCCUAAUUUAAUUCUCCAAGAAGAGACGCAAAAUUGGAUGGUAGAUGAGAUGCUUUUAUUAGACACACCUAUGUCCAUCAAUAUACUGGGAAGGAUCAG
Molecule: long non-coding RNA, 331 nt
Organism: Chiroxiphia lanceolata (lance-tailed manakin)
Lineage: Eukaryota; Metazoa; Chordata; Aves; Passeriformes; Pipridae
Exons: 3
Source: RefSeq, a predicted model, not a curated record